This 16-nucleotide ribosomal RNA is filed under the name Lemna minor. RNAcentral's name for it is "partial 18S ribosomal RNA". The record is from RNAcentral. RNAcentral also lists the same sequence under 3 other names. Lineage: Eukaryota; Viridiplantae; Streptophyta; Magnoliopsida; Alismatales; Araceae.
CUGCCAGUAGUCAUAU